Molecule: long non-coding RNA, 1542 nt
Organism: Mauremys mutica (yellowpond turtle)
Lineage: Eukaryota; Metazoa; Chordata; Testudines; Geoemydidae
Exons: 3
Source: RefSeq, a predicted model, not a curated record
GGUGUUGUAGUUCCCAGAAGGAGCACGUGACAGAGCAAGGCUUGCUGGGAAGCAGGAGAAAGGACAGGUCCUAGCCCUCAGUAAGAAGAGAGCCUAGGUAGGGAGUAAGAAGUUGGGUAGAGGUUCCUCAUGCUGAGAGCUGGGGGAAGAAAGAACCUGGUGAAUAGCUACAGAGAGCUAGGCAAGUUGGGGAGCAGUGAUGCAUUAAUAGAGGUGAACCUGAAGAUUUAGAUAGCUGCAAGUUGGUGUGAGAUCAGUGGUGUGACCUUGAAGCCUGUUGUCUGCACCUGCUCGGUUUAGGGGCUCCAAGUUAAGGCUUCCAGAGAUAGAGAGGAAGUUGCACCCCUUGCAUUAGGGGGAUGACUGUGUCCCAGGGAGGCCAUGGAUCUGUGUUUUACUUGGACUUAAUUACCCAGGAAGAAGUAGCCUUUUAACCAAAACAAAAGCCUUCAUCACCCAACCAGCCAGAGGGAAACCUGCUGCCAUAAAGGUAAAAGGGCAUAUCAUGUCAGAAGUUUCUAAGAUUGAGGAAUUGUGUCUACAUGCUGAUGGCAUCAUAGGGCUCAUUAAGUUUCAACACUCGGUGAGGUAGGCAAAUUGCAUCUGAUAACACAACAGGACCCCAACCAACCACGAAGGAUCAAUUGGGUAUGAUGCUUUCUGCUGCUAAAUCUGGUAACACCCCCAAGUGAGGCAGACUCUAGAAAGAACUAGAAGACAAUAGAGAGCUACAGAGCAAAAUCCGUCUUUAACAGUACUCUAAUAUCAUGAAAAAUCCAGCCUUGCAGCCAAAUUGGAUAUAAUUCAAGAUUGUUUAAAUGAGCCAACUUCUACAUUGGUGCCGGCUGAGAAAACUAUUGAAGUAUUAUCUGUAUCGGCAGUGUAGCAAGAACCAAAAAAAAAAAAAGGUCUUUGCAAGCUGUGACAACCUCCGUUGGUGCAUGACAAUAUUGCCUUACGGCAGAAGCAAGGGAAUAUAAGAAACAAAGUGAAAUACUGUAGCCUUGGAGUGAUUAACUUUUCAAUGAAAAUAAAGGAAGAACCCUUUGACUACUUUUAAAUACUUUUUUUUUCUUUUGGAACAUAGAACAAUAUUGCUUCUUUUAUUUGUACUUGGAAGGAUUUUUUUUCUUUUUUUUUUUAAUAAAUACCAGCAACAGGGAUGGUGGCUUUGACAGCAUUGUCACAAUAGAAGCUGGAAAGAGGGGAGUGUCUUGCAAUUAAGUCUGGAUUACAGUAGAGGAAACACAUGGAUAAGAAAUGAACCUCUAAUUCCACUAAUCUUGUCUGGGUGGUGUUUUGUCUGUAGACCCAGGCCAUAUCACAUGAUAUGAUCCCAUGCAUGGAUUCUCAGGCUUGCUUGUCAGCCCAACAAUUUUUUUUUUCAGAAGGGGCACACUAUUAUCUUUAUCUGCUUUGUAGGGAUAGUGUGAGGUUUGUUUAAUGCUUUUUGAUCCUCUGUUGAGAAGGCUACAUAUAAAUGGGAAGUAUUAUUAAUGGUAGUAUUAAUUGCCUGCUAACUCAGCAUCCUAUUUAAUCUUC